UCUCUCUGCUCUGAUGGUGAUGUGCUGCAGUAUGAUGAAGACCAGCAGAAGAACACAAAUGAGCCCGAGACCCACUGUGAUCAACAACAAACAUCUACUUCCUCCUGACGAACAUGACCAAAACACACAAAUAUAAUUCAUUGCUGUUCAUGUUAUCAGAAAUAAAGCUUCAAAUCAACUUCUGCUGAUAAACCUGCUCUCUGCUGUAUCCUGCUGGACUGGAGGAGAUCUCUCCAAACAGCGAUAGACUGGUGGAACUGAAACAGCAAAAUCCCGGAGACACUCACACAAACUCACCUGCUUCUCUUCACUCUUAAUAAUGACCAGAUCAGCUCCACGAUCCCUGCAGUACUGUCUGCUGUCAGACCAGCUCUUCCUCUCAUUGGACAGAAACAAGCCAUCUGGACCCCACCGA
Molecule: long non-coding RNA, 415 nt
Organism: Carassius auratus (goldfish)
Lineage: Eukaryota; Metazoa; Chordata; Actinopteri; Cypriniformes; Cyprinidae
Exons: 3
Source: RefSeq, a predicted model, not a curated record